RNAcentral lists this ribosomal RNA (492 nucleotides) under uncultured bacterium. RNAcentral describes it as "partial 16S ribosomal RNA". It matches the Rfam family "Bacterial small subunit ribosomal RNA", at positions 30 to 507 of the family's 1533-position model. The record is from RNAcentral.
AUUGAACGCUGGCGGUAGGCCUAACACAUGCAAGUCGAACGGCAGCACAGUAAGAGCUUGCUCUUGCGGGUGGCGAGUGGCGGACGGGUGAGGAAUACAUCGGAAUCUACUUUUUCGUGGGGGAUAACGUAGGGAAACUUACGCUAAUACCGCAUACGACCUACGGGUGAAAGCAGGGGAUCUUCGGACCUUGCGCGAUUGAAUGAGCCGAUGUCGGAUUAGCUAGUUGGCGGGGUAAAGGCCCACCAAGGCGACGAUCCGUAGCUGGUCUGAGAGGAUGAUCAGCCACACUGGAACUGAGACACGGUCCAGACUCCUACGGGAGGCAGCAGUGGGGAAUAUUGGACAAUGGGCGCAAGCCUGAUCCAGCCAUACCGCGUGGGUGAAGAAGGCCUUCGGGUUGUAAAGCCCUUUUGUUGGGAAAGAAAAGCAGCAGGUUAAUACCCCGCUGUUCUGACGGUACCCAAAGAAUAAGCACCGGCUAACUUCGUG